Long non-coding RNA from Equus caballus (horse), 1962 nucleotides. The record is from Ensembl. NCBI's taxonomy places the organism in Eukaryota, Metazoa, Chordata, Mammalia, Perissodactyla, Equidae.
GUUCAAAGGUGGUGAGAGGCAGGAUCACUGACACGGGCUCUUGGGGAACCUGGGCGUCUAAUUCCAAGCUGGAACCUAACCAGUGCAGUCUAUUCCUCCCAAAAGUUUCCCCUGGCAGAUCCAGGGGAAACUUGAAAAUCUUGGCACAGCUGGGUGGGGCGGAGCUCUCCUCCGAUAAGAGGUACCCGGGAGGCCUGCUUGCUGAAGGUCCUGGCUGCUGGGUCAGGUGCGGGAGAGUGAACUGUGCGUCCGGGUUCCUCACAGCCCUCUGGAACAAGGGGGAAUAUAGGCCAGCCUGGACCUUGUACCCUGACAGGACCUGAGUCAGAAGAGGCCAGGUCACCAUUGCAGGCUCUUGGGUGAAACGAAGCAUCUGCAAAUGCGCAGGACGGCACCGUUCUGAACUAAGGCGGCUAGUCACCUUAAAGCGAGAUACCGCGAGAACUCUGAAGCCUCGCUCGGUGAGACCAGAGUGUCCUGGAAUGAGAGACACGUGGGAGCCGUGGUUCCUGUACAGGCCCCAGUUCCCAUCAGCAGCACGAACAAGUGGGAACUGACUGUCGCCACCUGUGUAGCAACAGUAACUCAUCACAUUUCAGCCGGUGGGGAUGCUCCACACGGGAACGUAUCCAGGUGGUUCAUCUGAGCCGUGGACCCACAGGCCUGAAGAGCCCUAGCUGACUAAGCCAUGCUGAAUGGAUCAUUUACAUUCGUGGAGCACUUCAGGACUCACGGCAGCCAACUACCAGGCCUCCGCUGUGGGAAUCUUCUUGGUAUGCAGGCACAGACAAGCCCCUUGAAGAUGGCUGCUGCCCCAGGUCCUCCUGUACUGAAUUUCUUCUAAGUAGCUCAUGGAAGAAUCUGGUUCAUUAUAUGUGAAGUUUAUUUGGAAGAAUGAAAAGAAUUGUUGCCCUCCAGAAGAACUGCUUAGUGACAUCUGUGGAGAGGUGCUGGACAUCUUGAGAUUCCUCCUGACCUAGGGCUAUGGAGUGGGGCCAAAGCCAGCACUAUGGUUGCCCUUUGUCACAUUGCUGCAGUUUGUUAUUGUUUGUGGAGGUUGUUGGAAUUUGGUCUCAGUGACUCUUCUGAUAGGCAAUGAUACAAUAUUUUUUCAAUAAGGUAUACAGCCUGGGGCCGACAGCACAGACUGGCUCUGGAGGUGCAGGAGCCUGCCCACCUUCUUAUACCCAGUCUGGGUUGUCUGACUCUGUCUAGCCAUAUUUCCUAGCCUCUGCAGUCAUAAGAAAUCCUAAGACAUUCAUGUAUUCUAUGCUAACUACCUUGAAGAGUGAAUUGUAUAUUUAGAUCCAAAGCAUGUGAGAUGAUUUCAAGUGAACUUAAGCCGUGACCAACACCUAACAGCAUUAUCAUGGUCUUUCCGGCUAAGUGCCAUACUUUGAGUAUCUGAGUUCACACAUAAAUAAUGUUAUACACCUUAUUCUGUUUUCCAGAAGAUGUUUCUUUGGAUCCCAGAUGUUCAAAGCAUCGUCAUGUUAGGAGCCAGGAAAUGUUUUGUCAUUUCUGUUAUGUGUGAAGAAUAAUAUUUAAAAUAUUUCCCUGAAUUUGUUAUUUUCUGUCUUGCUUUGCAAUUUCUAUCAUUUGUAAACUCAAGUAGGUUUUUCUCUGUAUGUUUUUGGUGUGCCUGAUUAAACCUGUUAUUGUGGUUUUAUUUUGACACUCUUGGUGUUAAUUUUCAGGAAACACCUGUCUAAAGAACAACAUAGAGCUCAUCCUACAGGAGUGAGCCAGCCAUCUCUGCCAGGCAUAGUGGAGUUCUAACAUCUGUGUGUUCAGGCCAAAUGGUGUCUGAACCAGUUUGAUUUAAUUUACUUAUCAUUCACGUUGGAGGUAAUUCACAAUAUAAAGAUAUGUUCACAAAGAGAUCAUUUCUGCCAAACUGAAAACAAUUUCAAAUUAUCCCUGGAUGUGUAAAUAUUGAACAUCGAGUCAGAACUCCCUCUC